UACGUUCCCGGACCUUGCACACACCGCCUGUCAAGCCAUGGAAGCUGGGUGUACCUAAAGUCGGUAACCGCAAGGAGCCGCCUAGGGUAAAACUAGUGACUGGGGCU
RNAcentral lists this ribosomal RNA (107 nucleotides) under uncultured bacterium. RNAcentral describes it as "partial 16S ribosomal RNA". It matches the Rfam family "Bacterial small subunit ribosomal RNA", at positions 1367 to 1482 of the family's 1533-position model. The record is from RNAcentral.